Molecule: ribosomal RNA, 402 nt
Filed under: uncultured bacterium
Lineage: Bacteria
Description: bacterial SSU rRNA
Rfam family: Bacterial small subunit ribosomal RNA
Source: RNAcentral
GGGGAAUGUUGGGCAAUGGGGGAAACCCUGACCCAGCAACGCCGCGUGAGUGAAGAAGGCCUUCGGGUUGUAAAGCUCUGUCGCAGGGGAAGAAGAGGUGACGGUACCCUGUGAGGAAGCCCCGGCUAACUACGUGCCAGCAGCCGCGGUAAUACGUAGGGGGCGAGCGUUGUCCGGAAUUACUGGGCGUAAAGGGUGCGUAGGUGGCAAUUUAAGUUGGAUGUGAAAUCCCCGGGCUUAACCUGGGUGGUGCAUUCAAAACUGGAUAGCUAGAGUGCAGGAGAGGGAAGCGGAAUUCCUAGUGUAGCGGUGAAAUGCGUAGAUAUUAGGAGGAACACCAGUGGCGAAGGCGGCUUUCUGGACUGUAACUGACACUGAGGCACGAAAGCGUGGGGAGCAAAC